RNAcentral lists this ribosomal RNA (264 nucleotides) under uncultured bacterium. Its description in RNAcentral is "partial 16S ribosomal RNA". It matches the Rfam family "Bacterial small subunit ribosomal RNA", at positions 90 to 353 of the family's 1533-position model. The record is from RNAcentral.
GGCGACCGGCGCACGGGUGAGUAACACGUAUCCAACCUGCCGAUGACUCGGGGAUAGCCUUUCGAAAGAAAGAUUAAUACCCGAUGGCAUAGUUCUUCCGCAUGGUGGAACUAUUAAAGAAUUUCGGUCAUCGAUGGGGAUGCGUUCCAUUAGGCAGUUGGUGGGGUAACGGCCCACCAAACCUUCGAUGGAUAGGGGUUCUGAGAGGAAGGUCCCCCACAUUGGAACUGAGACACGGUCCAAACUCCUACGGGAGGCAGCAUG